Molecule: microRNA precursor, 59 nt
Organism: Salmo trutta (river trout)
Lineage: Eukaryota; Metazoa; Chordata; Actinopteri; Salmoniformes; Salmonidae
Source: Ensembl
AGUGGUUCUAAAUAGUUCAACAGUCUAUACCGAAAUUGUGAAAUGUUUAGGACCACUUG